This 68-nucleotide transfer RNA is filed under the name Titiscania limacina. RNAcentral describes it as "tRNA-Val". Lineage: Eukaryota; Metazoa; Mollusca; Gastropoda; Cycloneritida; Neritopsidae. The record is from RNAcentral.
UGAAGCAUAGCAUAAUUAAUGCAAUCCACUUACACUGGGUCGAUGGCUUGUUUAAAAGUCUGCUUUAA